AAAUUGAAGAGUUUGAUCAUGGCUCAGAUUGAACGCUGGCGGCAGGCCUAACACAUGCAAGUCGAACGGUAACAGAAAGCAGCUUGCUGCUUUGCUGACGAGUGGCGGACGGGUGAGUAAUGUCUGGGAAACUGCCUGAUGGAGGGGGAUAACUACUGGAAACGGUAGCUAAUACCGCAUAACGUCGCAAGACCAAAGAGGGGGACCUUAGGGCCUCUUGCCAUCGGAUGUGCCCAGAUGGGAUUAGCUAGUAGGUGGGGUAACGGCUCACCUAGGCGACGAUCCCUAGCUGGUCUGAGAGGAUGACCAGCCACACUGGAACUGAGACACGGUCCAGACUCCUACGGGAGGCAGCAGUGGGGAAUAUUGCACAAUGGGCGCAAGCCUGAUGCAGCCAUGCCGCGUGUAUGAAGAAGGCCUUCGGGUUGUAAAGUACUUUCAGCGGGGAGGAAGGGAGUAAAGUUAAUACCUUUGCUCAUUGACGUUACCCGCAGAAGAAGCACCGGCUAACUCCGUGCCAGCAGCCGCGGUAAUACGGAGGGUGCAAGCGUUAAUCGGAAUUACUGGGCGUAAAGCGCACGCAGGCGGUUUGUUAAGUCAGAUGUGAAAUCCCCGGGCUCAACCUGGGAACUGCAUCUGAUACUGGCAGGCUUGAGUCUCGUAGAGGGGGGUAGAAUUCCAGGUGUAGCGGUGAAAUGCGUAGAGAUCUGGAGGAAUACCGGUGGCGAAGGCGGCCCCCUGGACGAAGACUGACGCUCAGGUGCGAAAGCGUGGGGAGCAAACAGGAUUAGAUACCCUGGUAGUCCACGCCGUAAACGAUGUCGACUUGGAGGUUGUGCCCUUGAGGCGUGGCUUCCGGAGCUAACGCGUUAAGUCGACCGCCUGGGGAGUACGGCCGCAAGGUUAAAACUCAAAUGAAUUGACGGGGGCCCGCACAAGCGGUGGAGCAUGUGGUUUAAUUCGAUGCAACGCGAAGAACCUUACCUGGUCUUGACAUCCACGGAAGUUUUCAGAGAUGAGAAUGUGCCUUCGGGAACCGUGAGACAGGUGCUGCAUGGCUGUCGUCAGCUCGUGUUGUGAAAUGUUGGGUUAAGUCCCGCAACGAGCGCAACCCUUAUCCUUUGUUGCCAGCGGUCCGGCCGGGAACUCAAAGGAGACUGCCAGUGAUAAACUGGAGGAAGGUGGGGAUGACGUCAAGUCAUCAUGGCCCUUACGACCAGGGCUACACACGUGCUACAAUGGCGCAUACAAAGAGAAGCGACCUCGCGAGAGCAAGCGGACCUCAUAAAGUGCGUCGUAGUCCGGAUUGGAGUCUGCAACUCGACUCCAUGAAGUCGGAAUCGCUAGUAAUCGUGGAUCAGAAUGCCACGGUGAAUACGUUCCCGGGCCUUGUACACACCGCCCGUCACACCAUGGGAGUGGGUUGCAAAAGAAGUAGGUAGCUUAACCUUCGGGAGGGCGCUUACCACUUUGUGAUUCAUGACUGGGGUGAAGUCGUAACAAGGUAACCGUAGGGGAACCUGC
Molecule: ribosomal RNA, 1524 nt
Filed under: Escherichia coli
Lineage: Bacteria; Pseudomonadati; Pseudomonadota; Gammaproteobacteria; Enterobacterales; Enterobacteriaceae
Description: bacterial SSU rRNA
Rfam family: Bacterial small subunit ribosomal RNA
Source: RNAcentral